Long non-coding RNA from Onychostoma macrolepis, 1856 nucleotides. RefSeq lists it as uncharacterized. The transcript has 3 exons. The record is from RefSeq and is a predicted model, not a curated record. Lineage: Eukaryota; Metazoa; Chordata; Actinopteri; Cypriniformes; Cyprinidae.
UUUUUCUUCUCAACUUAAUUCCAUUGCGUACAAUUAAUCUAAUUAAGUUUUGCGAAGUUCUCAUUUACGCGGGAGCAACGUGCGCGAGAGCAUCCGCGCAUGCGCUUUGAAAACCAGGACCGUUGGUCUGGGAAAGGACACUUGAGAGGACUGACUGACUUGUUUCCAAAGCUCGUUAAAAGGAUGACAUUGAUGCAGCUCCUGAACUUGCCAUCAAAGGACUCUGUAUCUAUCUUAAUGAGGACCCUAAAGAUCUCAUUCAGGAGUAUGUGGACAUGGAAGAAGAUCUUUUACAGAGUGCCAUUGAGAAGACCACCAUGGGCAUCUUCGUGAUAAAGGACGCUGCAGGCAAUGAAGCGCAUGAUGUGGGAAUUGUGCUAGAGGGUGUGACCGUGCUUCAGGACCUUGACAGCGUGGCUUUUGCAACGUCAAUGUUGUUCGGUCUAAUUUAUACUCUUAAAGGGAUAGUUCACCCAAAAAUGCGUGAACUAUUACGCAGGUGCGUAACGCGUCAAGGCACAUAGAAAUAUAUACAUAGAUGCCUCAUUAGCGACGGUUUCUAUGGGCUGCGAUACGUAAGAAUCUGUGUAUAUAUAUAUCUAUGUUCCAGAGUCUUUGACGCGUCACACGCCGGAUGUUGUGGAUGAGCUCAGGAGAGUUGGACAUUGCCUGUAUCAGAGGUAAAAAAUGAUAUAAAUGCUGUUCAGUUUCUCACACAAACCGAUCGUUUCGUGUCUUAGGACAUCAAUGUAUCGUCACAAGCUGCAAGGUUUAAUUUGAAUUUGUCUGUGCAUGUUUUUAUUUCUCUCAAAGAUUCUGUGCCCAUUGACUGGCAUUAUAUGACUUGACAGACUGCAAAAAAAACUGUUAAAAAUCUUUGUUUGUGUUCUACUGAAGAAACAAAGUCACCUACAUCUUGGAUGCCCUGGGGGUAUGCAGAUUAACAUCAAAUUUUUAUUUUUGGGUCAACUAUCCCUUUAACCUGCAGUGCCCCACGAAGUUGCAUUUUACUUUUGAAAUUCUGCAAAAACUCAUCAUGGAGUUGGAUGGAGGGGAACUCUCUAUCAAGGCCCAAAAUUUCAAAUCUAAACUCCACCAGUGGGAUGGACCGCUUUUUGAAUAACUGCUGAGACUAUAAAUGAUAAACCCCAGAACAAGUCCAACAGCCUUCAUGCAAGACACCACCGCAGAGCGCAAACUGAUCUCAUCAUUGUUUUGACUGUUCCCCUUUGCCUUCUUUUGUUUCUUAAUCCCUUUUUGUCUGAAUUUGGCCCUCCUUUGGACUGGCUCAAAAGUUGAUUGAUUAGAGAGCUGAAUCUUUGACACAUGGAUGAUCUAGCAUAAAUAAGAUACAUUGUUUAUAGUUUGGGUAAGGGUCAGAUACUGUAUGUCAACAUUAUUUUUACAUUUCAGUUAUUAAAACAUUAAUUAUAUUGGUGCAUAUAUAUGUUAUGCAUACAACAGUAAUUGUCUUUGUUUUUAUACUAGUCUUGUUAAAACUAAUAUGUAGUUUUAUUACAUUUAAUCAUCAGAGAAGUUAUUCAUGCAAAGUUUUUGAAAGCAAAAUGUUGUUUAGACAUGUCAACUUACCUGUGUCUAUCUAGUCAUGAAGAUGCAUAUAUAUAUAUAUAUAUAUAUAUAUAUAUAUAUAUAUAUAUAAUGUAAUUUCAGCAGGCAACUAUUUUUACAGCUAACGUUACAUGAGAGUAAACUGGGCCAAAAUACAAAAAGUAAGUUAAACAUUCAAUGUGAUGGAUAUAUUAGGCUAUUUGAAGAUGUAUGUGUCAUGUAAUGAGCAAAUGGUUAUUUUCAAGUAUAUACAUCCUGUAAAUUAUGUAAGUUAAGUUGACGGUGAC